RNAcentral lists this ribosomal RNA (253 nucleotides) under uncultured bacterium. RNAcentral describes it as "partial 16S ribosomal RNA". It matches the Rfam family "Bacterial small subunit ribosomal RNA", at positions 524 to 776 of the family's 1533-position model. The record is from RNAcentral.
UACGUAGGGUGCGAGCGUUAAUCGGAAUUACUGGGCGUAAAGUGUGCGCAGGUGGCUGAGCAAGUCGAGUGUGAAAUCCCCGGGCUUAACUUGGGAAUUGCGCUCGAAACUACUUGGCUCGAGUGUGGCAGAGGAAGGUGGAAUUUCAGGUGUAGCGGUGAAAUGCGUAGAUAUCUGAAGGAACAUCAGUGGCGAAAGCGACUUCCUGGACCAAUACUGACGCUCAUGUGCGAAAGCGUGGGGAGCAAACAGG